This 4806-nucleotide long non-coding RNA is filed under the name Durio zibethinus. RNAcentral's name for it is "long non-coding RNA (DZIB_LNC001319)". The record is from RNAcentral. Lineage: Eukaryota; Viridiplantae; Streptophyta; Magnoliopsida; Malvales; Malvaceae.
UUUUCACUACUCUCUCUAUUAUUUCCUAGUUAAUAUUGACUUCCACCUCUUUUUACCACUAGCUAAUUAAUUAUCUCUUUGCUCCUUAUAUUGCUUUUACCAGGGUUCUAUAGUUAUCAAGGAAGUUUGUUUCUUCUUAUCUGCUCUAGGCCUUCUUUUCUUCACUGUUUUUUUUUUUUCUUGCUGUUCGAGUUCCUGCGGAAGUUUCAGCCUGUCGAAGGGUUCAAAGCAGGUAAUUUUCAAUUCAGUUUUUUAUUCUUUUUUUUUUUAAAUUUCUGCUCAUAACCUAGGGAAAAAAUUACUUGCUUGAUCCGGUUUCAAGCUUAUCAUGACAUGCCUUAUUUGCUUUGUUUGGGUUUUGUUGUUCUUUUACUAAGAAGUUGACUUCACAGUGAUUGUAUUAUAAUCUUGUUAAAAACAUUGUUAAGGUGACUUUAUGGUCUUAUUUGGAACAAGGAGCAUUUCACUUAUAAUUUUUUUUUGCUAUAAUACUACAAUAUAAUCUUAAUUUUUGAAACUUAAGAUUAAAUAGAUUAUGAACUCUUUUUUUUAUUUUUCAAAGGAUACGAAAAUGAUUUCGAAGUUUUCUUAUUUUUACUUUACAAAUCACAUUUGGUUUAAUUCAUAUGUAGUCUAUCAUUAAACAUGAUUAUCUUGUAAAUUAUUUUUUAAAAGUAAUUACAGUAGCAACUACUCAUUAAUCAUCCCGUGCAUAAUACGGAUUUAAAACUAGUACGAUAAUUAAGAUUCAAAAUUAGAAAUCCUUUUUCCGUUAUGGAGUUCCUCAUAUCCUUAAAAAUAUUGUAUAAUGUAAAAAUAAAUAAAAAAACAAUUAUUACAUAAAAGGAAGAAUAGUCAUCGAAAUUAAAGGAAUUGAUGCUAAAAAGGCACAUUAAUUAGUUGUAGAAUCAAUUAAUUUGUCUAUAAGUUUCUAAACUAUAACAAUAACUUUACUUCCUUCACCCCGUAAUUUUGGUCCAUUUUUCUUUUUUUUUUUAAUUUCUCAAAAUUAUGUUUUUCUUAACAUUUAUUUUUUUAUAUUUUAAAAUUAUUUUUUAUGAUUUUUUGUUUAUCUUUUACCAUUAAAAAUCAUAAUGAAUGAUACAUCAAUCUUUAAAAAAAUUAAUUGUAAUGUAAUAAAAUAUAUUAAAAUCAAAUUAUUUUAACAUUAACUUUGUUUAUGUGGCAUUUUGACUGGUUAAGAAUAUAAUUGAUGAUUACGUGAAUUAAAUAAAAUGCUCACACUAUCAUUUAUUUUAAUCCACGUCAAAUUUUAAAAUUUUAAUUUAUUUUUUAAAAAAUAUUAAUUAUUAAUUUGUUAAUAAUUAAACCAAAAAUAAAAAAUAAUUUUGCAAACAAAAAAAAAAUAAAAAUCUCGAUAUCGAAAAUCACCAGCACUUCCAAACACAUACUCUAUUUGGUUUGAAAAAAAAUUUUUAUUUUGAUUUUUCUAAAAAACAGUUUUUGUUUUCCAUCUAAAAAAUAUAUUUAAUAAAGAAAGUAAAAUUUAUUUUCUAAAAAUAAAAAACAAAAAAAUAAUUAUGAAAAUAAUUAUUAUUAAUGAUAUCUAAUUAUAAAAUAUAAUAUAUAUUUAUUAAUUAAUAACUUCAAAAAAUAUAUACAAACAUAAUGAGUUGUUUUCAUAAUUAAAAACUUUUUUUUUAAAUAUUUGACUCUACUUUCAUUUUUAUUUUUUAAAAAUUUAUUUUUAUUUUUAUUAUCAAACAAGUUUUCACUAUUAAUUUUUGUUUUUCAAAAAAAUAAAAAUAAAAAAUGACAUUAUUUCCGCUAAUCAAAUCUUAGAGGUGUCAAAUGAAUUAAACAAUCAAGACACGAUUUGACGAUACAGAUCAUAAUUGGUAUGAUUUUUUGGUAAUUAAUAAGAUAUUAUCAAGCACAAAACAUAUAUGUGUACCGUACUGAGCUAAAAUUUUAGUCCAAUAGAUCGGCACUCCACAAGGUCAGUGUCAGCAUAAGGCGUGUGGACUAGCCUUUGAGUAUAUUUAUUUUAUUUUUUACGUUGCAAUGAAAUUAUACUUACUUUUAAUAUUUUAUUAGUAAUUAAUAAACUAAAAUUAUAUUAAAAUUACUUAUUAAAUAUUUAAGUUAUUGAUAGAUAAAUUAUAUUUAAUUAGUGAUUAGAAAAAAUAAAACGACAAAAAUAAAUAAAAAGUUUAGGUUAAGUAGAAAUUCAAUUCACAAAAUAAAUUGCUAUAAAAUGAAAGGUAUAAAAUAAAUGCACAAAACAUCACAUUAUAUAAGUGAAUUAUUAGAUGUUAGAAUGAAAAAUAAAAUAAUAAUUUUGUGCUUUAUAAUAUCACUUUAUAUAUGUGUUUAUGUUUUUUGAAAUGUUAAAAUUGUAAUUCCAAUAUUUUGAUUUAAUGACUUUUAUUAUCCUAUUCCAUAGAUAUAGGUAUUUUAUUGAACCACGUAAAUUAUGUCAUUUUAUUUUAUUUUUAUUUAUUUUCGUAUGUUAUUUGUAAUAAUAGAUGAAUUUUUUAUUAAAUAAUUAAAAUUUUAAAAAAUUAUUAAUGAGUUGUACUUAACUUAUUUUGAUACGAAAAAAAGUAUCGUACUUUGCAUGACGUAACUUAUGAAAAUUACAAGUUAUGAGUGACGGUAAGUUUUAUUUUUAAUUUUUAUGAACCGUGUUAGCAUGACACAUUAAAAAUAAUGUUUGAUUGAGACAAUCCAUUAACAUAUAAAUUAAUAUUUAAAUAAUUUAUGCCAAUCAAGCAUUAACCAUUUUUUUUUUGUAAGAUAAAUUUAAAGAUAGAUAGAUUAUUCAAUUCUUAAUUCAAGAUAAGGUUGUGUCGUACCUGACAGUUUAAGACAGAUGAUUGUAAGUUGUGCAUUCAAGAUGACAUCAACAAAUGACCAUCGACAUUACUCUGAAUCUAGAAUCUUUUCGUUGAGGAGAACGACUUUAACUGAUUAAACUAAUCACUUGUUAGUAACCUAUAACUAUACCAACCAUUUGAUAGCUGUACCAAACCCUUCCUAACGUUCUCGAAUGCUUCAAACUCGUCUAAUCAGGAGGAACUCAACAUCAUCAAAACCUUCAUGAUAUUGACCAAGGGAUAGCAUCACCUGUUUCAUUCCAAAAACCAAAUCCCCCAGGAAAAACAAUUCUUAACCACAUAGUUUUCUGCAUUUUCUGCAUUGCAGCCUCAUCUCGUUUAUGGAAUCGCAGAAAAAAAAAAACAUCAAACUCUGGUGGAAGAUAUGAGAUGGUUCAUUAUGGAAGAUAAUGAUACGUUUUUUAUGCCUGAAAUUUUGGUUAGGGUCUUAUCUAACUAUAAUUAUAGUAAGUUUUAUUACACUGGGAGUUCUCCAGAGAGUCAUUUGCAGAACACAACAUUUUCUUAUGGGAUGGCUUUUGGCGAUGGAGGUUUUGCCAUCAGUUACCCUUUGGCUAAAGCUCUUGCAAAAAUGCAAGACAGGUGCAUACAGAGAUACCCAAGAUUGUACGACUCCGAUGAUCGGAUUCACGCUUGCAUGGACCGGGGUUUCAUCAUGUUUCUGUUUUUUACUUCACUUUCUUUAUAUUCAUCAAUUUGCUGAAACAGUUUUAGGCUCCAUUUUUGAGCAUGAUUGAAACCCGUUUUCAACGCAUCAGAGAAUGAGUUUUAUUUUAAAAAAAGGAGGACAAAGAACUUGAUAAUGGAAAAGUCAGUGUGAAAACACCUAGUAAUUUAACAUGUAAAUUCUAACAAAAUAUUAAGCCACCAAAUUCAACGGGGACUAAGAAAGACGGAGUCUAUCACGAGAUUACUAUUUGCUUUAAUCAAGCUCCAUGGCAUCCACCAUGAAAUUGACAGCAAGAUCAUAAAAUUGACUCAUAAUUUUAGUUCAUUUCACUUGUUUUUGAUGUACGAUGGAUUCAAAUCAAGAUCAAAGAAAGCAAGUAAAAUAGUUGCCCGGCUUGACAAGAUUCCAAAGUAAUUAGAAUUUUCAUGCUAGCUAUUAUUUUAUAAAAUAAUAAGAAUUAGACUGAUGAUUGAACGUGUCAAAUGAACAAAAUAUUGCGACAUUGCAUUAGAGACAGCCAUUGAAGCAAAACAGGGUUGGAUGGCCGAUGGCUUGGCCCUCGUUCCUCCUGACCAGAACAAUGAUCUUUUAUUCAUGAUGGCUAUCUAAAAUGUUAGAAAUAGACAAGAUUUAUGUUUAAGCUUGUUGAUUUAUCGUUAAACAUGUAGAUCCAUCAACUUUGGUAUGUCUUGGCCAUUUUCUUUUGUCUUGCGUGUUUUAAACUUCCCUCCAGACGGUAUCCCAAAUACUACUCUUAGAAAAAUCAGUAUGCAAUACUCAGUAGCUGACUCGCAAUUGCCAACAAUUAUUGCAGACAGUAAGGAAACAGCUAAGUAGAGGUGAAAUUUACUACGAAAGUGCACUUUGCUUUAAUUCUGCCUUGUGCUACCACCACGAAAGUGGCAGCAACACCAUAAUAUUGAUUCAGAAUUUAUAUCAUUUCGCUUGUUUCUUUUCACUUUCCUUGGCACUUCCUAUCUCUUACUUUUUUUACUUUUCUUUUCACUGCUCUUUAUUAUUUCCUAAUUAAUAUAAAUCAAGAUGGUAGCAUAGACUUCCACCUCCUUUUACCACUAGCUGAUUAACUAUUUCUUUGCUCCAUACAUAUCUUCUACCAGGUUUUAUAGUUAGCAAGGAAUUUUGCUUCUUCUUACCUGCUCUAGGCCUUCCUUUCUUCACUGCUUUUUUUCGCUAAUCGAGGUCCUACAGAAGGGUAAGCCUGUCAAGGCGAUCAAAGCAGGUUACUUUCAAUUCAGUUUUUUCCUUUUCUUUUUU